RNAcentral lists this transfer RNA (85 nucleotides) under Sphingomonas paeninsulae. RNAcentral's name for it is "Sphingomonas sp. YZ-8 tRNA-Leu". It matches the Rfam family "tRNA". Rfam says of the family: Transfer RNA (tRNA) molecules are approximately 80 nucleotides in length. Their secondary structure includes four short double-helical elements and three loops (D, anti-codon, and T loops). Further hydrogen bonds mediate the characteristic L-shaped molecular structure. tRNAs have two regions of fundamental functional importance: the anti-codon, which is responsible for specific mRNA codon recognition, and the 3' end, to which the tRNAs corresponding amino acid is attached (by aminoacyl-tRNA synthetases). tRNAs cope with the degeneracy of the genetic code in two manners: having more than one tRNA (with a specific anti-codon) for a particular amino acid; and 'wobble' base-pairing, i.e. permitting non-standard base-pairing at the 3rd anti-codon position. Lineage: Bacteria; Pseudomonadati; Pseudomonadota; Alphaproteobacteria; Sphingomonadales; Sphingomonadaceae. The record is from RNAcentral.
GCGGGCGUGGUGGAACUGGUAGACGCGCUGGACUCAAAAUCCUGUUCCGAGAGGAGUGUGGGUUCGAUUCCCACCGCCCGCACCA